RNAcentral lists this ribosomal RNA (253 nucleotides) under uncultured bacterium. Its description in RNAcentral is "partial 16S ribosomal RNA". It matches the Rfam family "Bacterial small subunit ribosomal RNA", at positions 524 to 776 of the family's 1533-position model. The record is from RNAcentral.
UACAGAGGGUGCGAGCGUUAAUCGGAAUUACUGGGCGUAAAGCGUGCGUAGACGGUUAUUUAAGUCGGGUGUGAAAGCCCCGGGCUCAACCUGGGAAUUGCAUUCGAGACUGAAUAGCUAGGGUACGGUAGAGGGAAGUGGAAUUUACGGUGUAGCGGUGAAAUGCGUAGAUAUCGUAAGGAAGACCAGUGGCGAAGGCGGGUCUCUGGACAGUUCCUGACGCUGAGGCACGAAGGUCAGGGGAGCAAACGGG